UGAUGAUGGCAAGGGCAAUUUUUGAGCAUACUUUUAAAUCUCCCCCAAGCUUGGUAGAGAUUCUCUUCUUUUUUUUGUCUGAAACUUAGAAUCUUGCUUCUUAAACG
Capsicum annuum is the source of this 107-nucleotide non-coding RNA. The record is from Rfam. Lineage: Eukaryota; Viridiplantae; Streptophyta; Magnoliopsida; Solanales; Solanaceae.